This 57-nucleotide transfer RNA is filed under the name Escherichia coli ATCC 700728. RNAcentral's name for it is "partial tRNA-Ser". It matches the Rfam family "tRNA", at positions 18 to 71 of the family's 71-position model. From Rfam's summary of the family: Transfer RNA (tRNA) molecules are approximately 80 nucleotides in length. Their secondary structure includes four short double-helical elements and three loops (D, anti-codon, and T loops). Lineage: Bacteria; Pseudomonadati; Pseudomonadota; Gammaproteobacteria; Enterobacterales; Enterobacteriaceae. The record is from RNAcentral.
GAGAGCACCUCCCUUACAAGGAGGGGGUCGGCGGUUCGAUCCCGUCAUCACCCACCA